Potamilus streckersoni is the source of this 78-nucleotide non-coding RNA. Lineage: Eukaryota; Metazoa; Mollusca; Bivalvia; Unionida; Unionidae. The record is from the annotation of a GenBank genome assembly.
GACCGUUCAGGUGGCUUAAGUGUGUAUAGCGUCUGCCUUGGAUGCAGUAGGUUGCCGGUUCGAACCCCAGCCAAGUCA